GGUUGUGGCUUUUCUAAGCUGUCACUCAUGUCAGGAAGGGCUUUUCAAUGAUACAGCCACUUUUGAGUCAUUCCAGCUGCUGUAAGUUUCCCUCUACCAUCACUCUUGUAAACCCAAUCAAGCCUCCCUGGCUCGCUGAGCUGGACUUUGGUGCAGUCAUUACUUUGAACUUUCGAGGGUUCCCUUUCUGUGACAAGUAGACAUGUGUGUACUGUCUCUCUCUAGGAAAGUCUGUCACAUAAUAGCUGUUUUUUCUUUCCUUCCGUAGAUAUUUGUUAAACACCUACUGCGUGUCAAAUAGUAUGCAGCCACUGGAGAAACAAUUAGAAAUUUAUUCAGCUUUACUCCCAGUCUGGGUCCCUGCCUUUCUGAGUCUCUCCAUCAGAAUGACCUAGAGGAUGCUCAAUAACAGAAGCACAAGCCACCUCUUCUACCAAGUUUGAGUCAUCCCCUUCUGUGCACAAAAUCUGUGCUUGGGGCUGCAGACAGGAAGCAGGACAGAAGCCCAGGGGCUUUGAACUUCUGAGCAGGUCUGGAGAUGUCAGGUUCUUACAAAACAUUGUAACCGCCUCACAUAUGAUUGCCUUGGUUUGACUUCAGCUGGAUUCUCUUGGGACUUUUGUGUUUGAAUGGAAACCUGGCUCAGAAGUGUUUCUCUUUAUGUUUUUCUUUUACUUUGAGGCAUUAGGUUUGGAAUUCACUCAGGACACAGAAUUUUGGCCACACUGAUACUAGUGAGCCACACCCUGAAUUAUCUUCAGGUUCUUAAACACAGAUAAGUACCCAGACAUUCCUACAAUAAACACAUUAUGGCUUUAGAACAACUAUGACUCCUAUACUAAAGACUGAAAUACACAGCAUACAAAACCAGAGAAGAAGGGACGGGGGAGUAAUUUUUUCCUGUAGUGUAGCCAAUGAUAAGUUACCCAUGAUCCAAUAAAUGACUCCAUACCCACGCUCACCAGAGCAAUCCUGAUAAAACUCGAGGAGUCAUUAAUCAAAACAAACAAACAAACACAUAAAACAAACAUGACAUUCUCAGUGAGACGAUCCCAAGUGAGGAUGUGCCUUACCCUUCGAGAUAUGGUCUUCUAGAAAUAAAAAUAUGUCAUAUACUCUACUGAAAUAUGUAUCUCUUAGAAAUGUCUUGUGUGCUCUGUCAUCUCCAGCUGAUGGGAACAGUAAGGAAAGCGUGAGCAUAAGAAAGCCAAAAGAAACACAACCACAAGCACCCAGUAAAGAUCCAGUACUGAAGAGAGGUGAGGAGACAAGACAGUCUAGUUUGAAGAUAAACCUCCCAAAAAUGUAACAGCUACACCGCAAUCCUUUAAUUAAGGAUACACGUUUUAUUCCUAAAUAAGACUGAUGAACCAGCCUGCUUUCAUAUUGGGUUUGAAAGCUAUCUUAUCGUAGAAACAAAUGAGUUUCAUUCCUGCUUAUGAUUGCCCCAUCUGCAACCUUAACUACAAAUGGUUCUGAACUUCCUGCUCCAGGAAUGGCAGUCUUGUCUUUGUUCCACACCGUUAUUGUGACCACCUGUGCUUAUGACCAACUGUUUUAGGACUACCUUAUGACCAUCUUGCAAUCAUGCUUUUAUUUCAGAAGUCCAUUAUGACUAACUUGUUAUGCUUUAAAUUCUGUUUCUGUAAUUCCAUCUAUUUGUCUGCCAAAUCUCCCAUUUGGAAACUGCCUACCCCGGAGAUUUAAAACUCUUAUCAUGUCCACAUCAAAUUCUGACAUCUUGAACCACACCACAGGGGAAGAUAGCUUGUAUACGUGAAUUAAAGAAACUUGCUCUAACUAACUGCAUGCUUUAAUUAAUUUAGCCAUGAUGAUUUGAGUCAAUGGCCUUUCUCCUUGCAACUUUGGGAUUAACAAGACAACAUAACAAUAGCUAACAGAGAAGCCUAUGAGGAAAUACAAUGACCCCCAAAAUGAGUUAUCUUGAAGCAGAUGAGAUGAAGAAGUGAGGACUUAGAAAGUAGGAGGUAAGGAAGUAAGUGGUACCAAAAAUAGUAGCAUUGCUUGGAGUCAUUAUGAAGAGUCUAUGAUUUCACUGGAUGGGAAGAUCAUAGAUUCAGGUAGGAAAUACGAGGAGCCAUCGGCAAGACUGUGAAGUAAGGUACUGUAAGGAACACGACAAAGACAUGAAAACCAAGCUUAGAGUGUGCAUGAGUGUGAUAAUGUAACCAUGGAACAAAGCCUAGGGUGUGUGAGUGAGUGUGAUAAAGUUGAAGUAAAGUGUGAACGCUUUAAUUAUGAUUAGUUCAAAAUAGUUUAAAAACCACCCAUCUGGCACUGCGACUCGAUUGCUCCUGGAGCCCUACGGAGAUGCUGAGAGUCCACCAACCCGGACGCCUGCCGACAAACGAGAUGAGCCCUCACUGUGGGCCGUGCUCCAGCUAGACCCGAAAACAGAAGGAAACGUCGCAAUGCGCAGGCCAUCAAGCCAGGAUAUGACAUUGGGCCAAACUGGAGCCUACCUGAGAGCAGAUGUAGUGGGUAUUCUGGUUGUCAACUUGACUCUAUCUGGAAUGAACUACAAUCCAGAAUUGGAGGCUCACCUGUGAUCCGAAUCUGGAGUCUAGGAGAUACAAGUUUCUGACCUGGAUCUUGGCGUGGAGAGCUUGAGUCAUAGUGGCUAUGAAUUCCAGAAGAUUAAGACAGGGAGAUCUCCGAGUUCAAGAUCAUCUGGGAUUAAAGGCGUGGUGGUACACACCUUUAAUCUGGGCCACACCUUCUGCUGGAGACCUACAUAAGGACAUUGGAAGAAGGAAGAUUCACUCUCUUCUUCACCUGCUUGCCUUGUGGGACUGAGCAACUGCUAGAUCCUUAAACUUCCAUUCACAGCUGCUACUGACCAUUGUUGGGAGUUGGACUACAAACUGUAAGUCAUCAACAAAUUCCCUUACUAUAUAGAGACUACCUGUAAGCUCUGUGACUCUAGAGAACCCUGAUUAAUACAGAAGUCUAGAACUGCA
Molecule: long non-coding RNA, 2981 nt
Organism: Mus musculus (house mouse)
Lineage: Eukaryota; Metazoa; Chordata; Mammalia; Rodentia; Muridae
Product: predicted gene, 53996
Exons: 3
Source: RefSeq, a predicted model, not a curated record